This 550-nucleotide ribosomal RNA is filed under the name uncultured archaeon. Its description in RNAcentral is "bacterial SSU rRNA". It matches the Rfam family "Archaeal small subunit ribosomal RNA", at positions 325 to 879 of the family's 1478-position model. The record is from RNAcentral.
ACGGGGCGCAGCAGGCGCGAAAACUUUACAAUGCGAGAAAUCGUGAUAAGGGAACUCCGAGUGCCCGUAAAAUCGGGCUGUCCAUCGGUUUAAAUAACCGGUGAAGAAAGGGCUGGGCAAGACCGGUGCCAGCCGCCGCGGUAAUACCGGCGGCUCGAGUGGUGGCCACUAUUACUGGGCUUAAAGCGUUCGUAGCUGGUCUGUUAAGUCUCUGGGGAAAUCUUCCGGCUCAACCGGACGGCGUCUCAGGGAUACUGGCAGACUAGGGACCGGGAGAGGUGAGGGGUACUCCAGGGGUAGGAGUGAAAUCCUGUAAUCCUUGGGGGACCACCUGUGGCGAAGGCGCCUCACCAGAACGGCUCCGACAGUGAGGAACGAAAGCUGGGGGAGCAAACCGGAUUAGAUACCCGGGUAGUCCCAGCUGUAAACGAUGCGCGUUAGGUGUAUCGGUGGCCACGAGUCACCGAGGUGCCGAAGAGAAAUCGUGAAGCGUGCCGCCUGGGAAGUACGGUCGCAAGGCUGAAACUUAAAGGAAUUGGCGGGGGAGCAC